AGCAGCCGCGGUAAUUCCAGCUCCAAUAGCGUAUAUUAAAGUUGUUGCAGUUAAAAAGCUCGUAGUUGAAUUUCGAGAUCAAUUUGUGGGUCGUGCCUCGGUACGUACUGGCAUUAUCGAUUUCUCCCUUCUGAAGAACCGCGAUGUCAUUAAUUUGGUGUCGUGGGGAAUCAGGACUGUUACUUUGAAAAAAGUUAGAGUGUUUAAAGCAGGCUUACGCUUGAAUACAUUAGCAUGGAAUAAUGAAAUAGGACGUUUGAUUCUAUUUUGUUGGUUUCUAGGAUCGACGUAAUGAUUAAUAGGGAUAGUUGGGGGCAUUAGUAUUCAAUUGUCAGAGGUGAAAUUCUUGGAUUUAUUGAAGACUAACUACUGCGAAAGCAUUUUGCCAAGGAUGUUUUCGUUAAUCAAGAACGAAAGUUAGGGGAUCGAAGACGAUCAGAUACCGUCGUAGCCUUAACCAUAAACUAUGCCGACUAGGGAUCGGAUGAUGUUAAUUUUUCAAUGACUCAUUCGGCGCCUU
This 520-nucleotide ribosomal RNA is filed under the name uncultured Glomus. RNAcentral describes it as "SSU rRNA". It matches the Rfam family "Eukaryotic small subunit ribosomal RNA", at positions 569 to 1089 of the family's 1831-position model. The record is from RNAcentral. Lineage: Eukaryota; Fungi; Glomeromycota; Glomeromycetes; Glomerales; Glomeraceae.